RNAcentral lists this ribosomal RNA (332 nucleotides) under uncultured Pseudomonadota bacterium. Its description in RNAcentral is "bacterial SSU rRNA". It matches the Rfam family "Bacterial small subunit ribosomal RNA", at positions 29 to 351 of the family's 1533-position model. Lineage: Bacteria; Pseudomonadati; Pseudomonadota. The record is from RNAcentral.
AACGAACGUUGGCGGCGUGGAUUAGGCAUGCAAGUCAUACGGGAUCCAGCAAUGGGUCUAGUGGCGCACGGGUGAGUAACGCGUGGGUAAUCUACCUCCGAAUUGGGGAUAACACUGCGAAAGCGGUGCUAAUACCGAAUGACAUCUCCGAGACCUCGGUCUCAGGGAUCAAAGGUGGCCUCUACAUGUAAGCUACUGUUUGGAGAUGAGCCCGCGUACCAUUAGCUAGUUGGUAGGGUAAUGGCCUACCAAGGCUGCGAUGGUUAGCUGGUCUGAGAGGAUGAUCAGCCACACUGGAACUGACACACGGUCCAGACUCCUACGGGAGGCAG